AACAGGAUUAGAUACCCUGGUAGUCCACGCCCUAAACGAUGUCUACUAGUUGUCGGGUUUUAAUUAACUUGGUAACGCAGCUAACGCGUGAAGUAGACCGCCUGGGGAGUACGGUCGCAAGAUUAAAACUCAAAGGAAUUGACGGGGACCCGCACAAGCGGUGGAUGAUGUGGAUUAAUUCGAUGCAACGCGAAAAACCUUACCUACCCUUGACAUGUACGGAAUCCCGAAGAGAUUUGGGAGUGCUCGAAAGAGAGCCGUAACACAGGUGCUGCAUGGCUGUCGUCAGCUCGUGUCGUGAGAUGUUGGGUUAAGUCCCGCAACGAGCGCAACCCUUGUCAUUAGUUGCUACGAAAGAGCACUCUAAUGAGACUGCCGGUGACAAACCGGAGGAAGGUGGGGAUGACGUCAAGUCCUCAUGGCCCUUAUGGGUAGGGCUUCACACGUCAUACAAUGGUACAUACAGAGGGCCGCCAACCCGCGAGGGGGAGCUAAUCCCAGAAAGUGUAUCGUAGUCCGGAUUGUAGUCUGCAACUCGACUACAUGAAGUUGGAAUCGCUAGUAAUCGCGGAUCAGCAUGUCGCGGUGAAUACGUUCCCGGGUCUUGUACACACCGCCCGUCACACCAUGGGAGCGGGUUUUACCAGAAGUAGGUAGCUUAACCGUAAGGAGGGCGCUUACCACGGUAGGAUUCGUGACUGGGGUGAAGUCGUAACAAGGUAACC
RNAcentral lists this ribosomal RNA (725 nucleotides) under uncultured bacterium. RNAcentral's name for it is "bacterial SSU rRNA". It matches the Rfam family "Bacterial small subunit ribosomal RNA", at positions 771 to 1501 of the family's 1533-position model. The record is from RNAcentral.